UGAGUCAACGCCGAUAUCUUGAGUUUCCGGCCACCUUUCUUUGUGAUUCUUGGCUUGAUGAACUCGCCUUGAGUUUCUGAACCAGUCUCCAGGAGGAAUCGAAGCGAGUGGUGGACGUUUUCACGCUGAUCGGAGCUCACGCCGGAUUCUGGAAAAAUUCCGGCCACCGUGACUGAGUUUGGUGAUUGACGGUCUCCCUUGGGUGAGCGAUUUCGGUGUGUAUUGUGUUGAAUUGAAGACGCAGCGGGAAUAUCGAGCGGGUAAUCCUACAGGUCAGGAGAAUCAGGACGGUGAUCGUGCGGGUUAGAGAAUUUGUUUUAGUUUUACAGCAAUUGUAAUUGUGAGGUGAGUUAUGCUCAUUUGAGCCUUACAAUAUAAUUUGGUGAGAGUGUGCUGUAAUAAACAAAUUUGAGAUUUGGUU
This is a long non-coding RNA of Rosa rugosa (rugosa rose), 421 nucleotides long. RefSeq lists it as uncharacterized. The transcript is spliced from 3 exons. NCBI's taxonomy places the organism in Eukaryota, Viridiplantae, Streptophyta, Magnoliopsida, Rosales, Rosaceae. The record is from RefSeq and is a predicted model, not a curated record.